UACGAAAGGGGCUAGCGUUGUUCGGAAUCACUGGGCGUAAAGCGCACGCAGGCGGAUCGAUAAGUCGGGGGUGAAAGCCCGGGGCUCAACCUCGGAAUUGCCUUCGAUACUGUCGGUCUCGAGUCCGGGAGAGGUGAGUGGAAUUCCUAAUGUAGAGGUGAAAUUCGUAGAUAUUAGGAAGAACACCAGUGGCGAAGGCGGCUCACUGGCCCGGUACUGACGCUCAGGUGCGAAAGCGUGGGGAGAAAACAGG
This 253-nucleotide ribosomal RNA is filed under the name uncultured bacterium. RNAcentral describes it as "partial 16S ribosomal RNA". It matches the Rfam family "Bacterial small subunit ribosomal RNA", at positions 524 to 776 of the family's 1533-position model. The record is from RNAcentral.